Molecule: ribosomal RNA, 433 nt
Filed under: uncultured bacterium
Lineage: Bacteria
Description: partial 16S ribosomal RNA
Rfam family: Bacterial small subunit ribosomal RNA
Source: RNAcentral
AACGAACGCUGGCGGCAUGCCUAACACAUGCAAGUCGAACGAGACCUUCGGGUCUAGUGGCGCACGGGUGCGUAACGCGUGGGAACCUGCCCUUUGGUUCGGAAUAACUCCCCGAAAGGGGUGCUAAUACCGGAUAAUGUCUUCGGACCAAAGAUUUAUCGCCUUUGGAUGGGCCCGCGUUGGAUUAGCUAGUUGGUAGGGUAAAAGCCUACCAAGGCGACGAUCCAUAGCUGGUCUGAGAGGAUGAUCAGCCACACUGGGACUGAGACACGGCCCAGACUCCUACGGGAGGCAGCAGUGGGGAACAUUGGACAAUGGGCGAAAGCCUGAUCCAGCAAUGCCGCGUGAGUGAUGAAGGCCUUAGGGUUGUAAAGCUCUUUUACCCGGGAUGAUAAUGACAGUACCGGGAGAAUAAGCUCCGGCUAACUCCGUG